GUCAUCAGGUGAUGAGAUGGAUGAACUCCCAGUUUGCAUUUAUUGGGAGCUAUGAAACUGGUAAAAUGAUUAUGGUUCCCGCAACUCCUAAGCCUAUUACAUUGGAACUUGGUGAAGAAGACCUAUUCCUAUUUGAGUAUGUUGACAUUGACAAAAGGCAGCAAAGGGAACAAGUAUUGAAGGGGGCAUAAAGAACUAUGGGAGAAGCGUCCAUUUGACAAGCUCAAAGUCAUUGGUUCGCACUACCGUGGUUAUAUCAAAGAUUC
Molecule: long non-coding RNA, 266 nt
Organism: Triticum dicoccoides
Lineage: Eukaryota; Viridiplantae; Streptophyta; Magnoliopsida; Poales; Poaceae
Exons: 3
Source: RefSeq, a predicted model, not a curated record